AACAGACAAACAAGUGCUGCAACAAGGUUCCAGAACAAAAUCCAAAAGGUUGAACGACGAAGUAGGCUGCGCAAGUAUCAUGUCCUGUUCAUGUUACGUGUCCUCUAUGACAAUACACUACUGGCAAGUUGUGCAACUUAGGAUUAUGGGCAUGUAUGAUUAGGUUUUUUAUGUUGUGUUUAUCCCUGAACGCAAGAGUACAUGUAGUUACCAGUCUUAUAGGGUACCUACACCUGAGAAAGCAGACAGCGAAUGUUGGAGGGAGGCAUUUGCUCGACAUGAAGAAAAUCAUCAAUCAAGGUCAGACACUGUUGGAGAAUACAAUACAAAUACAAUUUUGGAAUAUCAUUGAAAGUUGAGCUUCAAUCUUUCUUUUUUU
RNAcentral lists this long non-coding RNA (379 nucleotides) under Prunus dulcis (almond). Its description in RNAcentral is "sRNA ncRNA". The record is from RNAcentral. Lineage: Eukaryota; Viridiplantae; Streptophyta; Magnoliopsida; Rosales; Rosaceae.